UUACAUAAUUAUUUACAAUAAAAGUAAACGAUAUCAGAUAAACUUUUUGAUUAAGAAUUUUUCGAGUGCUUGCUCCGAUUUGCAGAACAGGGACGGAUAAAGAAAUCUUUCAGAUCCGAUAUUAUGGAAAAGCAACUCGAGGCUCUGAACAUCGAUGAUUCCUUCGAAUCGGAUCAAGAAUCAUCGCGUACUAAAAUAAUCAGGACGUUCAGUUUUCCAUCCAGCCAAGUCCAUUUUUGCAAAACUUCCAAAGAAUUAAAAUUAUCCACGUUGGAUAAGCACUACAGCGAGCAAAUACUAUAUCCGAAUAUUUACGCUAGGGAGCCCGCAUUAUUGGAGAUGCAAACAAAAAGAGCAGAAUGUAUCUUUUAUAACAACAGCAAAGUUCCGGAACAUUUUUGGCAUCCGAGGAUCGAUAAUGUGCCAUCUACAUCCGCACUUACACCUGCAGACGAUCCUGUGGAAUAUAUGGAAAUAGAGAAAUAUCCAGAUUCAACGAAACAUGAUACAACAUCGUUCACACCUAUGUUAGCAGUCGAUCAAACAGAGGUUAUGGAAGUAGAAAAAUUUAUGAAACCUAGGGAUCCUGCAGAAUGUAUGGACCUAUCGAAAUCGAUCUCUAUGGAAUCAUUAUCGUUUGCUGCUGUCCAACAAGCACAUACAAAUAUGUUGAAGUCUGCCUUUGAUUUAGAAUCCAAGCCUUCGGAAACAAACGAAGAUAUUACAAAACUGAUUCCUACGAGACGAAAAUUCAGAAAGACUAGUGAGAUUCAAGAAAAUAAUCUAGAUCAUAUAAAUGAAAACAACGAAGACAAGAAACAGAAAAAUUAUCAGGAUACGAAAAAAAAAAUCCAUUCGAAAAAUGCUUCGCAAUAUUCAAAAAUCAAAACAGCACUUUGCAUCAUAUGUUUUGUAAUAAUUUUAAUAUUCGUAUUCCUGUUAUCUUUGCAUGAAGAUCAGGAUGAUAAGCACAGCAAUACUUUUACGACUGCCAUUGUAGAAUUAAAAAAAGAGAUUUUCGGUCAAGAUCGAGCUGUACAAAUCUUGAUUAAAUAUCUCCAGCAAGAUUCACCUUUUUUAAAGAUAAUAGCUCUCGUCGGUGGUACCGGUGUCGGUAAAUCAUACACGGUGGAAAUUAUAAGAAAGAAUUUUUAUGAAAAAAGUAAUAACCAUUUUUUUUCUUCGCGCGCCGAUUUGUUCAUCUUGGAAAAUUUGAGAGACGAACAUUUGUUAGAUGUUAUAAAAUUUGUAAAAAUGCAUCAAAAGACAUACGACAAUCGAUACGGUACUAUAUUUGUUGUUUUUAAUGUCGAGCAGAUGAACGAUAACUCGACGCGUAGUAUAGAUCUAAAUAAAAGUAUAAACAUAAUGAAAAAUACUUUUGCCAACGCAAAUCUCGACAUUAAAAUUAUUCCUUAUGAAUCCUUGAGCGAGGAUGCUUUAGAAAAAUGCAUUAAAAAAAUUGCGAAAAAUGUUAAAUUAACUCUCUCUCAAGAUCAGAUCGUUCUUAUUAAACGACAAUUGAUAGAAAAUAAUACCGGUUGUAAAGGAGCCUAUGGCAAAAUUCAGGUGAUUGGUAGACAAUAAAGAGAUUAUACGUAA
Molecule: long non-coding RNA, 1602 nt
Filed under: Camponotus floridanus (Florida carpenter ant)
Lineage: Eukaryota; Metazoa; Arthropoda; Insecta; Hymenoptera; Formicidae
Description: uncharacterized LOC105253559, transcript variant X4
Source: RNAcentral